UGGGGAAUAUUGCACAAUGGGCGCAAGCCUGAUGCAGCCAUGCCGCGUGUAUGAAGAAGGCCUUCGGGUUGUAAAGUACUUUCAGCGGGGAGGAAGGUGUUGAGGUUAAUAACCUCAGCAAUUGACGUUACCCGCAGAAGAAGCACCGGCUAACUCCGUGCCAGCAGCCGCGGGAAUACGGAGGGUGCAAGCGUUAAUCGGAAUUACUGGGCGUAAAGCGCACGCAGGCGGUCUGUCAAGUCGGAUGUGAAAUCCCCGGGCUCAACCUGGGAACUGCAUUCGAAACUGGCAGGCUAGAGUCUUGUAGAGGGGGGUAGAAUUCCAGGUGUAGCGGUGAAAUGCGUAGAGAUCUGGAGGAAUACCGGUGGCGAAGGCGGCCCCCUGGACAAAGACUGACGCUCAGGUGCGAAAGCGUGGGGAGCAAACA
This 427-nucleotide ribosomal RNA is filed under the name uncultured bacterium. RNAcentral describes it as "partial 16S ribosomal RNA". It matches the Rfam family "Bacterial small subunit ribosomal RNA", at positions 355 to 774 of the family's 1533-position model. The record is from RNAcentral.